RNAcentral lists this long non-coding RNA (1068 nucleotides) under Hordeum vulgare. RNAcentral's name for it is "long non-coding RNA (HVUL_LNC002040)". The record is from RNAcentral. Lineage: Eukaryota; Viridiplantae; Streptophyta; Magnoliopsida; Poales; Poaceae.
UUUCUUAAAACUAGCUGUUCAAUGCUAUACCCAAUUGCAUGGCCUAAUUAAGUAAGAGUCAUGGCCUAUUUCAACGGAUCUUCUAUCCAGCAAGAAGAUAAUCACAUUAUAGUACAUAAUCACAUUAUAGUACAUAACUCGCAGCGAAUCAGAAGGGCACAUAAUAGCUAGCAAUACUCAGUAUUUCAUCAACUUACAACCUAACAUAAUAUAACAUACACAACCAUAUCACAGGAAACUUCCAUUUUGUUCUAACUUGAAGUAAGCUUCUUCAAACUUCAUAAUUGGAGCUGUUCUACAUGAACGUCAACACCACCAUCAGAUCUGUCCUUAGAAGCUGCUAGUCACACGCGUUGCGUCGGUCGCAGUCGCGGGCGCGGGAGGCGGAGGAGAAGCUGGCCACCAGCAGCGGAGGCCUCGCGGCGCUGCUCGUGCGGGACUCGGUGGCGCUCUCGGCGCACCGACGGUGGGUGAUGAUGCUGGAGGCCGAGAACUCCGCGCUCAGGGCAGGAGGAGGAGCCGCCGGCGCGGAGCCCGAGGAGGACGAUGGCGCGGGGCACCGGGUGGCUGCCGCGUGGUGGGUCGCGCUGGUGGUGUGCGUCGGCCUCGCCCUCGGCAACCUCCUGCUCUGAAAAGUGAAAACUCACCUCCUGCUGUGAAAACCGAAAUUAAUCAAUCAUCCUUGAUUUGAUUUUUGUAAAUCAAGCGCCCGUGUGUGUGUGAAAAUGUUCCUGCUAUCAUCGAUCGAUGCUUGGCAAGGGAACCCCGUGCUCUUGUUGAAAAACAGAUGAAAUCAAGAGGGUUGAUAGAUUGGAGCGGAAGCUGCCGUAUCUGUCUCUGCACGCGAUCAGCAGAUUCGUGCCGAGUCGUAGGUUAGUUAGUGAGUAUGGUUGUUUAAUUUAGCCUGAUCGAUCUGGAUAACAUAUUAACAUCUGGUCCUGGCACAGUGCUCCAUGAGUCAUGACUGCGACAUUUCAGCCGGUCGCCGGUUGGCUUUUGCACAUUUCAGCACAACGGGUAAUGAGCCACUGCCCAUUGAACCCGAGAUGGCUGUCCGAUCAAACUCAC